This 440-nucleotide ribosomal RNA is filed under the name uncultured bacterium. Its description in RNAcentral is "partial 16S ribosomal RNA". It matches the Rfam family "Bacterial small subunit ribosomal RNA", at positions 338 to 795 of the family's 1533-position model. The record is from RNAcentral.
CCUACGGGAGGCAGCAGUGGGGAAUAUUGCACAAUGGGGGAAACCCUGAUGCAGCGACGCCGCGUGAGUGAAGAAGUAUUUCGGUAUGUAAAGCCCUAUCAGCAGGGAAGAAAAUGACGGUACCUGUUUAAGAAGCCCCGGCUAACUACGUGCCACAAGCCGGGGGAAUACGCAGGGGGCAAGCGUUAUCCGGAUUUACUGGGGGGAAAGGGAGCGUAGACGGCAGCACAAGUCUGGAGUGAAAUGCCGGGGCUUAACCCCGGGACUGGUGUGGAAACUGUGAAGCUAGAGUGGAGGAGAGGUAAGUGGAAUUCCUGGUGUAGCGGUGAAAUGCGUAGAUAUUAGGAGGAACACCAGUGGCGAAGGCGGCUUACUGGACUGUAACUGACGUUGAGGCUCGAAAGCGUGGGGAGCAAACAGGAUUAGAUACCCUUGUAGUC